RNAcentral lists this transfer RNA (77 nucleotides) under Allomuricauda sp. RNAcentral's name for it is "tRNA-Met". It matches the Rfam family "tRNA". Rfam says of the family: Transfer RNA (tRNA) molecules are approximately 80 nucleotides in length. Their secondary structure includes four short double-helical elements and three loops (D, anti-codon, and T loops). RNAcentral also lists the same sequence under 2 other names. Lineage: Bacteria; Pseudomonadati; Bacteroidota; Flavobacteriia; Flavobacteriales; Flavobacteriaceae. The record is from RNAcentral.
GGCGAGGUAGCUCAGGUGGUUAGAGCGCAGGAUUCAUAACCCUGAGGUCGGGAGUUCAAGUCUCCCUCUCGCUACCA